Molecule: long non-coding RNA, 405 nt
Organism: Hermetia illucens (black soldier fly)
Lineage: Eukaryota; Metazoa; Arthropoda; Insecta; Diptera; Stratiomyidae
Exons: 3
Source: RefSeq, a predicted model, not a curated record
UAUAAAAGCAGUUGAAGUUGACUUUCUUUCAAAUUCUGUAGUUUUCAGGAAGAAAAUUGUUCAACGUUUAAAAUGUGGUUCAAAACCUGUUUGUUUUCCGCUUUGAUACUUGGUGUCUACUCUGCUAGCCCAGGGCUUUUUGAUGAUAUUCUUAAAUCGGUGGGCGUGCAAAUAGCAGAUGCUGUGUUCAAAAAGAAAGAAUAACUUUGGCAGAAAUUGUUGGUGCUUUUAAGACGAAUACUUAAUGGCUAAGGGCUGACCUCGCCACUACAUUCAUGUUUGCAAGUUCCGUGCUCCUUGAAUUGAUAAUCCCGGAUAUAAUUCCGCUAACUUAACUUAAUUCGUAAAAUUAACUACUUUUCAAAAUCUUGAAUUCAAUAAACGUCCCUUGCAUCAAAUUAACAA